This 448-nucleotide ribosomal RNA is filed under the name uncultured bacterium. RNAcentral describes it as "bacterial SSU rRNA". It matches the Rfam family "Bacterial small subunit ribosomal RNA", at positions 29 to 523 of the family's 1533-position model. The record is from RNAcentral.
AACGAACGCUGGCGGCAUGCCUAACACAUGCAAGUCGAACGAAGCCUUCGGGCUUAGUGGCGCACGGGUGCGUAACGCGUGGGAACCUGCCCCUUGGUUCGGAAUAACAGUUAGAAAUGACUGCUAAUACCGGAUGAUGACGAAAGUCCAAAGGUUUAUCGCCGAGGGAUGGGCCCGCGUAGGAUUAGCUAGUUGGUGAGGUAAUGGCUCACCAAGGCGACGAUCCUUAGCUGGUCUGAGAGGAUGAUCAGCCACACUGGGACUGAGACACGGCCCAGACUCCUACGGGAGGCAGCAGUGGGGAAUAUUGGACAAUGGGCGAAAGCCUGAUCCAGCAAUGCCGCGUGAGUGAUGAAGGCCUUAGGGUUGUAAAGCUCUUUACCAGGGAUGAUAAUGACAGUACCUGGAGAAUAAGCUCCGGCUAACUCCGUGCCAGCAGCCGCGGUAA